UGUCAAAUCAUCAUGCCCCUUAUGUCCAGGGCUUCACACGUACUACAAUGGCGCAAAACAAAGGGGAGCGAAGGCGUGAGCCGGAGCAAAUCCCAAAAAAGCGCCCCAGUUCGGAUUGCAGGCUGCAACUCGCCUGCAUGAAGUAGGAAUUGCUAGUAAUCGCAGAUCAGCAUGCUGCGGUGAAUACGUUCCCGGGCUUU
This 200-nucleotide ribosomal RNA is filed under the name uncultured prokaryote. Its description in RNAcentral is "partial 16S ribosomal RNA". It matches the Rfam family "Bacterial small subunit ribosomal RNA", at positions 1183 to 1382 of the family's 1533-position model. The record is from RNAcentral.